AGAACCCCGGCGAGGGGAGUGAAAAAGAACCUGAAACCGUGUACGUACAAGCAGUGGGAGCCCCACCACUAAGCCAGUGGUGAACUCCACAUACGCAUCCUUUGCUGAGGAUACGGUUAACGGAGCGAAAGCGACGUUCAACCGCAAAAGAAGCAGAGGGGGCUUAGUGGUGGGGUGACUGCGUACCUUUUGUAUAAUGGGUCAGCGACUUAUAUUCUGUAGCAAGGUUAACCGAAUAGGGGAGCCGGAGGGAAACCGAGUCUUAACCGGGCGUUAAGUUGCAGGGUAUAGACCCGAAACCCGGUGAUCUAGCCAUGGGCAGGUUGAAGGUUGGGUAACACUAACUGGAGGACCGAACCGACUAAUGUUGAAAAAUUAGCGGAUGACCUGUGGCUGGGGGUGAAAGGCCAAUCAAACCGGGAGAUAGCUGGUUCUCCCCGAAAGCUAUUUAGGUAGCGCCUCGUGAAUUCAUCUCCGGGGGUAGAGCACUGUUUCGGCUAGGGGGCCAUCCCGGCUUACCAACCCGAUGCAAACUGCGAAUACCGGAGAAUGUUAUCACGGGAGACACACGGCGGGUGCUAACGUCCGUCGUGAAGAGGGAAACAACCCAGACCGCCAGCUAAGGUCCCAAAGUCAUGGUUAAGUGGGAAACGAUGUGGGAAGGCCCAGACAGCCAGGAUGUUGGCUUAGAAGCAGCCAUCAUUUAAAGAAAGCGUAAUAGCUCACUGGUCGAGUCGGCCUGCGCGGAAGAUGUAACGGGGCUAAACCAU
Molecule: ribosomal RNA, 770 nt
Filed under: Salmonella enterica subsp. enterica serovar Dublin
Lineage: Bacteria; Pseudomonadati; Pseudomonadota; Gammaproteobacteria; Enterobacterales; Enterobacteriaceae
Description: partial 23S ribosomal RNA
Rfam family: Bacterial large subunit ribosomal RNA
Source: RNAcentral